ACAACUUUGGGGCCUGUGAUCUGUGAAGACAGGGUCCUCAGAGUGGACCAGCCCACUUUGCCUGUUCUCCUGGGCCAUCACAGUCUCCUGGGCCAUCACAGUCUCCUGGGCCAUCACGGUCUCCUGGGCCAGGCGCCUUAGGGGGAGAUCUCAAGGAAAGGUAGCAGUUCAGUGAUUCCAGCUCCCAGGUCCCUGCUAGCUUGGAUCUCCAUCAUCCCUGGAGCAGUGGAGCCCUCUCACUCCUGUGGACAGAUGGAGGGAUGGAGCAUGGAGAGGCAUGGAGAGCCCAGCCUGGAAGGGACACUCAGCCCUGUAUUCUCAUUCCCUGGUACACAGGCCACCAGACGUGCCCACCCAGCCACAGACAGAGAAGCUGGCCAAAGGAGACUGGACGACCAGACCUGCCUUUAGAG
Manis javanica (Malayan pangolin) is the source of this 413-nucleotide long non-coding RNA. RefSeq lists it as uncharacterized. The record is from RefSeq and is a predicted model, not a curated record. NCBI's taxonomy places the organism in Eukaryota, Metazoa, Chordata, Mammalia, Pholidota, Manidae.